This 249-nucleotide ribosomal RNA is filed under the name uncultured bacterium. RNAcentral's name for it is "partial 16S ribosomal RNA". It matches the Rfam family "Bacterial small subunit ribosomal RNA", at positions 796 to 1041 of the family's 1533-position model. The record is from RNAcentral.
CACGCCGUAAACGAUGGGUGCUAGGUGUCAGGGGCUUUGACCCCUCUGGUGCCGUAGCUAACGCAUUAAGCACCCCGCCUGGGGAGUACGGCCGCAAGGCUAAAACUCAAAGGAAUUGACGGGGGCCCGCACAAGCGGUGGAGCAUGUGGUUCAAUUCGACGCAACGCGCAGAACCUUACCUGGGCUAGAAAAUGCAGGAACCUGGUUGAAAAGUCGGGGUGCUCUUCGGAGAACCUGUAGUUAGGUGC